RNAcentral lists this long non-coding RNA (9667 nucleotides) under Vitis vinifera (wine grape). RNAcentral describes it as "long non-coding RNA (VVIN_LNC005545)". The record is from RNAcentral. Lineage: Eukaryota; Viridiplantae; Streptophyta; Magnoliopsida; Vitales; Vitaceae.
CCUCCCAAGAAGUUGUUCCACAGAUAAUUGGCAACUUUUUGGGCAUCAUAGGAAGAGGACAGAGAGUAAUUUCCAACCCCACCACCUAUAGAGAGCAUGACCUUAGUGCCUCGAUUUUGGCAGUUUCUUAUGCCGUUACUGACGGAGGUGCAGCCAUUGGAAGCAGAGUUGCAAUGGCCUGCAAGGUUGAUUGCAGGGGUCCGGCCAUUGCCGAACUUGUUGAGGAAGGCUAUGUUAACGUAGGAGUAUUUGCCGGUGUUGCAGGUUUGAGUUAGGGUCCCUUCAUUGCCGUUUUGGCCCCAGUAGAUGGCGAUGCCACCGGCAUAAGAGGUCUGGAGGAAAGCUAGGACUGAGAGGGAGAUGAGCAGAGGUAUGGAUUGAGGGGUUCUAGCCAUUCUUGAAAGAGCUGGUGUGGCCUGUGCUUGAUUAAUGUGUGUGGGGGUGAGUCCUUUUUAUAGAGUUCUAGAGUUGAAGGUCGUGACUCCCAAACUUUAACCGAGUCAUGUCUUUUCUCGUUGGCUCUAUAAAUAUUAACAAAUAAUAAGAUUGAGAGAAGCUUCAAGACGAUAUUAAAAUGUUAUGAUAAUUGAGAUGGGCUUCUAGAGACAGAUAAAUGGAAUGGAGGAAGAGUGGGAGACAACCAACAUAGGAUACAAGAUAAAUAUUAACAAAUUACGGGAUUGAGAUAAGCUAGUAAAGAAGAUAUUAAAAUGUUAUGAUAGUGAGAUGAGCUUUCAGAGAUAGAUAAAUGUCGAUGGAGGAGUGGGAGACAAUCAACGUAGGCUAGAAGUUUCCCUUGAAUGUUGGACAUUUUCAGGACCUCACCAGUCUUUUGGCACGAGUCGAACUCCAUAAAAAACUCGAAAAUCCAUUAGCCGUUUGAUAAUAUUUUUACUUCAAGUGGUUUUAAUAAAAAUAUUUUCCUUUAAAGUGUAUUUAUUAGAAUCAUCUAAAUAUUUAUUAAAAAAAACUAUAUUUUUUAAAAUUUUAAAAAUAUUUCUUAAAUUUUAUCCAACACCUAAUAAUGUUUUUUUUAGAAACAUUUUUUAAGGUAAAAAGGCUUCCUAUUUUUUGGCAAAUGUACUCAAGUUUUGUCACAUACGUGUAACUUUCUCAUCUUAUAGUCAAAGGAAUCCAGUUGAGUGCUUGAGAGACUUGGUUGAGCUGGGUGAAGCUGGUAGCUGGUUCCAUUGAAGUCGUCUCCACCGAGCCUUCAAUGCCACUGAAAAUGUGAGGAGUGGCAACUGGUGGGGCGCUUAUCUCUUGACUCUUGUCUUUCCCUAGUCUGAAGGAAACAUGAUUUGUUUAAGAAGAUAAGCAAAGCGAUUUGGUUGAUUGGGAGUCAAUGAUUCUGCUAAACUUCACAUAUAUGUGAAAGAAAGAUGACAAAGACAGGGCCUAGUUACUUGCCGGCCGGAUGCAAGGCAGUCAGCAAAGAGCACCAAAGACAGUUUACUGACGAUAAUGGCAUCAUAGUUCAAAUGGUUUCGAUUUUCAAUAAAUGAAAUGUAACAACCCUGUACAUGAGAUAGCUUUUACGUUCUAAAAAUACAUUUAUAUAGUUUCACAAUAACACCAUGAUAUCGUGUUUAGUAAGAUUGCAAGACCAUUUGGACAAACACCCACUAUAGGAUGGAUCGACUUUAAUAUAAUUUAUAAUGACCCUUACGGGAUGAAUUGACUCUGAUAUAAUUUAUAAUGAUCCAUUUUUUCAUAUGGAGUAGACAAAUUAUAUAGAAAAAAGAGCAAGUCAUUACACGAAAUGCUUAAAACCCGAGAACAGUUGUGUUAAUGGGGUUAAAUCCAAACAACAAACAUAUAGCAAAAGAGCUUUUAUGGUAGCAUAUAAAUAAAUGAAAGAAGAACCUGUUUAACUUGAUUUUCUUAGUAGAUAUGCUAGCAUAAUUUUUAUUAGAUCGAGGAAGAAGAAAACAAAAUUUCUAUAUAUAUGUAUUAUUUUGGGGCUCUUUUUUUCUUUCAUUCUAGUGGUUUGUAACGAUAUGAGUCCAUACUGUGUGCAGGGGAUCACCACCGCCACCGCCACCGCCACCGCCACCGCCACCGCCCAUAUAAUGUUUGUUGUUUGGAGAUAAAAAAAAAAAAGCCCGAACUGACUUAACCAUCGGAGGAGGAUAACUCGGGGCGACAUUGGGUAAGCCUUGAUUUGCAGAUAAAAACGUGCGGCAAGUAGAGGACUGCAGUUUGGGAAAUUCAGCUCCAACAUCCCAUACCAUCAAUUAGUUAUAUAUGAAUUUGUUUGGCUCAAAUUAUGGAAAAAAAAAAUUAUUUUAUUUCGUAGGCUAAUAAUGUAGAUGGUGAUGGACUCUUAAAAUAAUUAUUUAAUAAAAAAAUAAAAUUUAAAAAUAUUCUGAAACAUCUUCACAAUCAUCAAUGGUGGCAGAUGUUUUGUGAACCAACACAUGACUUUAAAUAUUGCUGACUCAGAUAAGGUUAAAAUAAUUUUUGGAUGCCAACAUUUUAUUUUUUAGAAAAUAGAUUUUUAUUUUUUAUUUAUUUUUUAUACUUUUUAAAUAUAUAGGGAUAGAAAUUAAUAUAUUUCAAAUAACUUUGGGGUUAAUCUAGGAAUGAUCUCGAUAAACAUUUUUUUAAUGUAUAAUAAUUUUUAUUAUAAUUUUUUUUUAUAGAAAAAUAGUUAGUGUUUCAUGGCAUAAAAAAAAAGAUUUUAAGAAUAUUUUUUAUAUUAUGUUGCAUAAAAGAAAAAUAAUUUUGGAAGAAACAUCAUUGAGUUAAUUCAAAAAUUACUCUUAGUGAUUAUUUGAAUUUUUAGAAGCAAUUUCUAAAAUAUUGCCUAACAUCUAAUUAUUGUAAGAAAAAAAAUUUUCAGACAUUAAAAAAUAUUUUUAAACUUGUGAUAUCUUGAACGGGUUAAUAACGGUUGGAGUUGGAUUUGGGUACUCAAGUAGGCUUUCCUAACCCAAUCUAACAAAUAAAGAGAUGAGGAGUUUCUCUCACUCUCUCCAAAACAAAAAAAUACCAGUAAAAAAACUCUCUUUAUAAUUUCAUCUUCUUUUUUUUUCUCCAUAAAAGAAGAUUAAAGCAUUUAUGAUGUGAAAUAGAGUGCUUUUAAAAUUUUUGUAAUUUCAUUCAUGACUUGGGGUAGAGAAUUCAUAGGUGAAACAAUAAAUUUAGAUUUGAGGACUUUAGAAGAUAAUUCGAUGCCUUUUUUUUUUUGACAAUAAAUUUUUCAUAUUUUUUCAAUAAAAAGUUUGAAAAAUAUAUAAAAUUUUAAAUAAAUUUUAUUAUAUUUAAUUUUCUCCAUAUUUUUAUAAUAAAUCAAAUAGAAGAACUUAAAUUACUUCUAACUUAUUUUUUGCAUUAGGUUUUGACCAUAUCAUAUGUGUUGGUGCAUGACCAACAAGGAGGUAUCCAACUAGUCUUUGUGUGGUGUAGACGACUUUUUGAACGGAAUGUCCAAAUGGGUUUUCGGAAUAAACCCCUUUGAAGCUUAAGUCAAAGAUAGAAGACUUGAGUAAGAGAUUUUUGGAAAAAGUUACAACAUAUCUUUCCUGUUAUGAAAAAUGAUUAUUUAUCAUUACUCAAAUGUAACAUCUUCUCAGGUGUCUUAAUUGUGUCUUUGACUAUGCGUUGAUGAGCUUUAAUACUUGACAUUUUAUUCUAAUAACAGUUGUGUCAAUCAAUACAUAAUGCAUUUAAUGCUUGUUACAGUUAAUGCUUGACAGACAAGAAUGCAUGGUACCUAACUGUUUGUAUCCGUUUGUACCUUGGGAUGAACGGAUAAUACCACAUGACUUUUGUGUUGAACAUGCCUUGCGUUAGAUGACACUUGGGGAUCAUGCUAGACGAUAAUAAGCGUUUCACAACACUUACAAUGUGAAAAACCCAUGAGUUCAUAAUAGCACAUGAUGCUCUUGUGGUUCAAACCUAUAACCAUGGUUCCAACUCAUGAGUCUAACUUAUGAUACUAAUUUUUGAAUCAAAUCAAGAUAUGCUAAGUCAAUUAUGAUAUUCAACCAUCAUUAUUUGAAUGAUCCAUUUCUAAGCUUAAGAGUGGUAUUAUUAUAACACAAUAAUGUUUUUUUUUAAAUACAUUAUAUGACACAAAUAGAAUAUUAGAUGAUCAAAAUCCAAUCUAAAAUUUUAGCAAAUUUACCACGGAGUAAAAAAGUGACUAGAAAUGGAAAAACAAUCUUAAUAACUAUGAUUAAACACUUGGAUGCAAACAAAUAAAAUAAGGAGAUGGAUGAUGAUUAUUACAAAAAGUUGGUAGAAAAUCACACCUUGUGCACUUAAUCCUCUAAUGGAUAUCAAAUAUAAUAAAAAGUGAGUUUCCUAAAAAGUUGUAUGAUUUUACACCUACUUGAGAAAAUUUGGGUGUUGUUUAGUAUUUUGGAGGUAACAUUUCUUUUUCAUCUUUUAUUUUUUAAUUCUUUAUGAUUUAUCUUGGCUAUUUGUGAUUGGUUAAUAAUUAGUGAACUAAAAGGAAAAUUUUUUCCUUCCAUAGUUUUUUUUAGCCUUUUUGAUGUGACGUAAUUAUUACUAUUUAGAAAUGGUUCCACAUAACACAUAAUAAUAAUAAUAAUAAAAAUAUUAUUAUUAUUGUUUUAUUAUUAAACUCAAUUAAAAAUAAAUUAUUAUUAUAUAAAAUUUUAAUUUUUUAUAAUGGAUGAACUUUUUAUGAUUAAGCUAUUAGAACUCUAUGAGAUCAAUAACAAACACUACUAUAUGUGCUAGUUGUUAUGAAAUAUUGUUUUCUUUAAUAGUUUUCAUUUAUAAAAUACUUAUUAAAAAGUGGACAUUGAUCCUUUUUAUCGGUGGAGGUAAGUGGACAUGGCAUCAUUCCUUUUGGAAGUGGUUUUUGACUUUUUAUAGCACGUGGCCAUAAAAAAAUAUUUUUAAAAUGAAGAGGAUAUGAUUUAAAAAUAUAGGAGAAUCAUUCCAACAGCUGGGUCAAAUCUUCUCACUUUAGAUAUUAUUGUUACGGUAUUUGAGACUGUCGGUGGUGCCGUCGGCGGGCGACGGAUGCCGGACAGGGGAUGUGGCCCGACGGAGAUCGGAGCCGAUGAUGGAAACGAGGAAGAAGACGACUGUGUGGUGGUUCUCACUUCUCAUGGGUAUCUCCAGUGGGAAGAAGGCUUGUUGAGGGCUUCCAAAUGGUAAAAAAAUUAAAAAAAUGGCGGCAGAAAUUUUGGUGCGGGUUAGUGAUAUUUCUAAGAUUUUUUUUUUAAUAAUUUAAUUUUUGUCACUUCGGAUAAAAAAAACAAUAAUAAUUUUUAUAUAAAGUUAAAAGACUUGAUUAUAAAAAACAUUUUAUUUUAUUAAUUUUUUCAAAAUUUAAAGUGAUUUUUAAAAACAUAAAUAAGUUUAUAUUUUUUAUAUAACAGUUUCCGUUUUUAAUAUAAAAAUUGUAACUAAUUUUUAUUUUGAAAAACGAAAAACAAAAAGUGUCAAAACAAUAUCUUAUGAGGAUAAUUUUCUAUUUUUUGUUUUGAGUGAAGUCUUAAAUCCUAUUUGGUAAUUAUUUUGAAAACAAUUUUAAAAAAUAAUUUUUGAGAACUAAUAUUUUAUAAGAAGUCUUUGAGAAGUUGAAAUAUUUUUAAUCUAUUUUAAUAUUUUUAAAUAUAUUUUAAAAAUAAUUUUUAUGUUUAAAGUUUUAUUUUAAGUCAUUAUGCAUAUUUGUACAAUUAUUUUUUAAAACAAUUUAAAAAAUGAAAAUAAUUAAAAAUAAUUAAAAGAUGUUAUUUGAAAACACCCCAUUUUAUCUUCUUAAGAGCAAAAAAUAGAAAAUAAUUUUUUAAUAGUCAAAUAUAUUUUUUAAUUUUUUAUUAUUUUAAAAAAUAAAAUAUUGAAAUCGAAAAUAGUUGCCAAACAUACCUUUCAAUUUUAAAAUUAUUGAAAAUAAUUUUUCUGGAUAUAAUUAUUUUUAAUUUUUAACAAAAAACCGAAAGUUUAUCCAAAUGAUUUUGUUUUUCCAAUUUUAUAAUAAACAAUCAAAUAAAAAAACAUUAAAUUUUUCCUUACCAAUUUCUUUGCCUUGAACUAUUUAGAACCAAGCAUAACCUAUUCUAAACCCAGAUUUGUCCUGCCCCGAUGCAAUAUAAGCCCAUUUGUUACUAGCUCGAUUUAGGCAUGGCCCAUUAUCAGUCCUUAACCCAGCGCAGGCCCCAAUGUAGACUAGUUCCCUGUUGGGCCAAUAUGAUUUGGCCACUCUUUUUCUUAGCCCAUGUUCUUUCAAGUCCAUUAUUAUUUUUAUGUUUACUUUAUUUUUAUUUUUUGAUUUUAAUUUAAUUUUUAUUAUAUUUUUUACCUUUAUUUUAGUCUUAUUGUAAUGUUUUGUGGUGACUAUGAUAUGAUUUUAUUUAUUUAUUUUGGAUAUAUUAUUAAUAUGGAUGACAAUGAGAUGGAUUCAGGAUGGAUCACCUCUGUCCCAAUCUUGUUCUAUUUAUUCAAAAUAAUUAUCAUCUUUGUCCCAUUAAAAAAAAAUUAAACGGGGUGAGAUAGGGUAGAUAUGCAAAUUUCUCAUACCCAUCCCAUCCUAUUUUGUUUAAUUUUUUUUGAAAGACUUUUCUUUAAAAAAAACAUUUGAAAAUUUUUAAUUAUAUUAAAGUAAAUAUGUUUUAUAAAUAAUUAAAAUAUUAUAAUUUUUUUUAUUGAAAAGUAAUUUAUUAUUAUUAUUAUAUAUGUUAAAAAUUAAAAAUUGUUGAAAUUAUUUUUCAUAAUUAAUUUUAUAUAUAAUUGGGGUGAGAAUGAAGUAGGACAAUAUAAUAUUUAAAUCUACCCCAAGUUUUUAAAAAACCUUAUAUCUGCUCUUAAUCUGUUUAUUUAAAUUUUGAACUCACUCAUUAGAGACAAGAAAUACUUGGAAAAACUGUUCCAUUUCUACCUUAAUUAUAAAGCUUGUGGACAAUUUUGAAAACAUUUGAAAACAUAUGACUCAUGUUUUCAAAUGCCAUUUGAAUGCUAACUUCACAUUGUCACAUGAAUGUAUAUUUGGAGGCAUGGAUGAUUUUGGAUGGAUCUGGGAACGACGUACCUCUAGUUAUAGUGGUAAUAUAAUUAGGGGUGACAGAAUUUGUUACGAUAUGUUAAUAUAAUUCAAACUUAACAUAUAUUUCAUGAGUUUAGAUAAAAUACACUCAAAUUUGAAUCAAUUUAUAUAACUUAUUUAAUAAAUAAUUAGUUUUUGAAUCAAUAUGCAUAACAUAAAUAUAAUUUGAAUGAACCUAAUUAAUAAUCUUACUAAUUAACUUUAAAUUAUUUAAUUUAUAUUUAACUCAUUUUAAAUAAAUAGAUUAAUUAUGAAGUUAAAACGUUAAUGAUAUAGAUUUAUACAGGACUAUAUGAGAAUGAGAGAGGUGAGGGGGGAAGUCGUCGGAAGUGGCUGCCGCCGGUGGCGGCCACCGGCUGGCAGUGGUGGUGGCCGCAAGUGAAAGUGAGGGUGGAUGGGUGUGGAAAAGAAAAAGGGGAAGAAAGAAAGAAAAGAAUAAAAAAAAACUGGUAAAAAAGAAAAGGGAGAAAGAGAAGAAGGAGGAGAGAGAGAGCGAAUGGGGACGGCUGGAGAUGGGUUUUGGGUGAUAGGCAUAGGCGGAGAGAACUGAGAAGAGGGAAAAAGAAAAGAAAAGAGAAGAGAGAAAAAGGAAAAGGGGAGAAGAGAAAAAAAGGGGGGACGUGGGAACGGGGCCAGAGUCGGAUUUGAAUGAAUGAAAUAAAAAAAAAAAGAAAAAAAAAAAAGGAAAAAACAAGAAAAAGAAAAAAAAUUAAAAAAACAAAAAAAGAUAAAAUAAAUAAUAAUAAAAUAAAAAGUGAGAAUAAUUUGAAAUAAAUUUUGGGAUUUACAAUCAUUUUAACAAAUUUAUUUAUUUAUAUAUUUAUGUAAAUGAAAUUAGAAUAUCACUAUCUAACUUGUCCAUUUACCAAGUUCAUCAUGCUUUCUAGAUUAAUACAUGUAUAUUAUAUACUAUUAUGAUAUGGUAUCCAUUAGUUAAUUAAUAAAUUAUUUGUUUUUUUGUCAACAUAUUAAUAUAGAUCGAGAUUAGUUUGGGCUUAGUAAUAGCUUGACCAUGGACUGAGUUAUGAUUUUAAUUUUAUUAUUUUAUUUUUAAAAAUUUAAAAAUAAGAUAAAUAAUAAGCCUCCAUGUUUUUCUAAAAAAUAAAAUAAAAGAACCUUUUAAGGGUAUGUUUGGUAUAUGAAAGUUCAAAGAAAAAAAGAGAAACUUUUAAAAUAUAUAUAUAUAUUUAAGAAAAAAAUAUAAUAUUUUUAUUUACUUAUACAAAAUAUAAUAAAUAAUGUUGUUUUUAGGGUGUUAAGAGAAUGUUAUUAAUUAAACCUAAAUUCUAUAAAUUUAAACUUUCCAAAAAUUCUUUUGUUCUAUAACUCUUGUACCUAAACUUUUAGGAAGAUUAAGAAAAUUUUAAAAAUAAUUUUGAAGUACAUGGGUUAAAUCUAUAGUUUUUAAUACAAGAGUAAAUAUAUAAAAUAUUAUUAUGAUUUUAUAUUUGUAAAGAAAAUAAGUGAGACUAAUUGGCAUCCAUUGAAAAUCAUUGGCCCAUUUUAGGUUUGAAACUCCGAGCCUUCUUAGUCCCGCACCCGGCACCGCUCAGGCACCACUAGAGCGAAAUUGAUAUUUAAAAGGAAAGAGAAGGUCAACUCUUUAUAAUUCUUCAUACUAUAUUCUCCAUAAUAUUCUCUUUCACUUUAUCCAUACAUUCAUCGAGGAUGAAAGCUUAUUCAAUAUAUUAUUACAACUGAUAUAGAUAGACUAACACCCAGUUCACACACUGCUCUUAAUGGAAGAGCUGUAUCCACUCUGAUCAUCAUAGUACUUUGACCACAGCAUCACGCCUCCAUACUUGGCUGAUCUCUUAAUGACCGGAAGAAUUUGAGAGGUCAACACAUUGGCCGGAAUAAACCCACUUCCGGCAGCUGCAGAGGAUGCCGGCAGGCCCAUGAAGAUCCGUGAAUUUAUCGAUGAAGUCCACCGGUUCCAUGAAUUCAGAAGGUUAUUGGUGUUGCCAGAAGAAUACUGGCAUGGGGCAUUGUUAUAGAAUUGCACCCAGACAUAGUCAAAAAGGCCUGUGUUAAGGGCAGUGCCCAGGAACUUAUCUGGGAAUGGACAUUGAGGGGCUGCAGUGAGGUAUACCUUCCUUCCACGCUUGCUGAAACCUGAUAAGGCUCGAGCAAGGUCAUCCCAGUGCAGGGUCGAACCGAGCUCGAUGUCGAAGUCUAUGCCAUCUAAUACUGCAUCACCUAAUGGCCGAGACGAUGAUUGUCCUCCCAAGAAGUUGUUCCACAGAUAAUUGGCUACGUUUUGGGCAUCAUUGGAAGAGGACAGAGAGUAACUUCCAACCCCACCACCUAUAGAGAGCAUGACCUUAAUGCCUCGAUUUUGGCAGUUUCUUAUGCCGGUACUGACGGAGGUGCAGCCAUUGGAAGCAGGGUUGCAAUGGCCAGCAAGGUUGAUUUCAGGGGUCUGGCCAUUACCGAACUUGUUGAGGAAGGCUAUGUUAACGUAGGAGUAUUUUCCGGUGUUGCAGGUUUGGGUUAGGGUCCCUUCAUUGCCGUUUUGGCCCCAGUAGAUGGCGAUGCCACCAGCAUAAGAGGUCUGGAGGAGGGCUAGGACUGAGAGGGAGAUGAGCAGAGGUGUGGAUUGGGGGGUUCUAGCCAUUCUUGCAGGAGGCUGUCUGGCCU